RNAcentral lists this ribosomal RNA (243 nucleotides) under Salmonella enterica subsp. enterica serovar Worthington str. BCH-5715. Its description in RNAcentral is "partial 16S ribosomal RNA". It matches the Rfam family "Bacterial small subunit ribosomal RNA", at positions 893 to 1136 of the family's 1533-position model. Lineage: Bacteria; Pseudomonadati; Pseudomonadota; Gammaproteobacteria; Enterobacterales; Enterobacteriaceae. The record is from RNAcentral.
GUUAAAACUCAAAUGAAUUGACGGGGGCCCGCACAAGCGGUGGAGCAUGUGGUUUAAUUCGAUGCAACGCGAAGAACCUUACCUGGUCUUGACAUCCACAGAACUUUCCAGAGAUGGAUUGGUGCCUUCGGGAACUGUGAGACAGGUGCUGCAUGGCUGUCGUCAGCUCGUGUUGUGAAAUGUUGGGUUAAGUCCCGCAACGAGCGCAACCCUUAUCCUUUGUUGCCAGCGGUUAGGCCGGGA